RNAcentral lists this ribosomal RNA (400 nucleotides) under uncultured bacterium. RNAcentral's name for it is "bacterial SSU rRNA". It matches the Rfam family "Bacterial small subunit ribosomal RNA", at positions 370 to 772 of the family's 1533-position model. The record is from RNAcentral.
AAUGGGCGACAGCCUGACGCAGCGACGCCGCGUGGGGGAUGAAGGUCUUCGGAUUGUAAACCCCUUUCGGCAGGGAAGAUGGAACGGGUAACCGUUCGGACGGUACCUGCAGAAGCAGCCACGGCUAACUUCGUGCCAGCAGCCGCGGUAAUACGAAGGAGGCAAGCGUUGUUCGGAUUUACUGGGCGUACAGGGAGCGUAGGCGGUUGGGUAAGCCCUCCGUGAAAUCUCCGGGCCUAACCCGGAAAGUGCGGAGGGGACUGCUCGGCUAGAGGAUGGGAGAGGAGCGCGGAAUUCCCGGUGUAGCGGUGAAAUGCGUAGAGAUCGGGAGGAACACCGGUGGCGAAGGCGGCCCCCUGGAUCAUGACUGACGCUGAGGUGCGAAAGCGUGGGUAGCAAA